CCCUUAGAUGUUCUGGGCCGCACGCGCGCUACACUGAUGCAUUCAACGAGCCUAUCCUUGACCGACAGGUCCGGGUAAUCUUUGAAUCUGCAUCGUGACGGGGAUAGAUUAUUGCAGUUAUUAAUCUUCAACGAGGAAUGCCUAGUAGGCGCAAGUCAUCAGCUUGCGUCGAUUACGUCCCUGCCCUUUGUACACACCGCCCGUCGCUCCUACCGAUUGGGUGUGCUGGUGAAAUGUUCGGAUCGGCCGUUUGUCGCGGUUUCCGCGUCAUGUGGCUGAGAAGUUCAUUAAACCCUCCCACCUAGAGGAAGGAGAAGUCGUAACA
Molecule: ribosomal RNA, 325 nt
Filed under: uncultured eukaryote
Lineage: Eukaryota
Description: partial 18S ribosomal RNA
Rfam family: Eukaryotic small subunit ribosomal RNA
Source: RNAcentral